GGGGGGGGGGGGGGGGGGGGGGGGGGGGGGGGGGUGGGGGGGGGGGAGGGGGAGGGGGCGGCUCUGGGGUUAGGGGGGGACGGGUGCGUAACGCGUAGGUCGCCUGCCUGUACGGGUGGGAUGGCUUCGGGAGACCGGGGCUGAUACCGGGUAGUAUAUUUGACCGAGUGGUUCGAGAGUGCACGCCGGGUUGACUGUCACUUAGAGAUGGGUCCGCGUCUCCUUAGCUAGUCGGUACUGUAACGGCUUACGAAGGCAACUAUUAGUAUCAGACCUGAGAGGUGGAUCGCACAAACUGGAACUGAGACACGGUCCAGACUCCUACGGGAGGCAGCAGUAGGGAAUCUUCCGCAAUGGGCGAAAGCCUGACGGAGCAACGCCGCGUGAGUGAUGAAGGUCGUCGGAUCGUAAAACUCUGUUAUUAGGGAAGAAAAAAUGUGUAAGUAACUAUGCACGUCUUGACGGUACCUAAUCAGACAGCCACGGCUAACUACGUG
This 497-nucleotide ribosomal RNA is filed under the name uncultured bacterium. Its description in RNAcentral is "partial 16S ribosomal RNA". The stretch from base 54 to 497 matches the Rfam family "Bacterial small subunit ribosomal RNA", at positions 38 to 507 of the family's 1533-position model. The record is from RNAcentral.